Molecule: RNase P RNA, 400 nt
Filed under: Bacteroidota bacterium
Lineage: Bacteria; Pseudomonadati; Bacteroidota
Description: Bacteroidetes bacterium (activated sludge metagenome) RNase P RNA component class A
Rfam family: Bacterial RNase P class A
About the family: Ribonuclease P (RNase P) is a ubiquitous endoribonuclease, found in archaea, bacteria and eukarya as well as chloroplasts and mitochondria. Its best characterised activity is the generation of mature 5'-ends of tRNAs by cleaving the 5'-leader elements of precursor-tRNAs.
Source: RNAcentral
AAAGCAGGUCGUUCUAUCGCUUCUCAUGAAAAUGAGGGGAGGAAAGUCCGGACAACACAGAGCGCCACACUUCCUAACGGGAAGGCUUUAGUUAAGAAAUUGACUUAAGACAGCAAGUGCCACAGAAAAUGAACCGCCCCGAUUCGUUCGGGGUAAGGGUGAAAAUGUGAGGUAAGAGCUCACGGUAAUGUCGGGUAACCGGUGUUAUGGGUAAACCUUGUGGGUUGAAAGGCCAUGUAAACGGGCUGUUGGAAACCAACAGACAGGCGGCUCGCCUAGUACCGCGGGUAGGCCGAUAGAGGUGCGCAGUGAUGUUCAUCCCAGAUAAAUGAUAGAACUUUAAACUUCGGGUUUAUUCCGGGUUUAUCGACAGAAUCCAGCUUACAGACCUGCUUAUUUU